AGGAUUCCCCUAGUAACUGCGAGUGAAGCGGGAAAAGCUCAAAUUUAAAAUCUGGUAGUCUUUGGCUGCCCGAGUUGUAAUCUAGAGAAGCAUUAUCCGCGUUGGACCGUGUACAAGUGUCCUGGAAUGGACCAUCAUAGAGGGUGAGAAUCCCGUCUUUGACACGGACUCCCAAGGCUUUGUGAUGUGCUCUCAAAGAGUCGAGUUGUUUGGGAAUGCAGCUCUAAAUGGGUGGUAAAUUCCAUCUAAAGCUAAAUAUUGGCGAGAGACCGAUAGCGAACAAGUACCGUGAGGGAAAGAUGAAAAGAACUUUGGAAAGAGAGUUAAACAGUACGUGAAAUUGCUGAAAGGGAAACGCUUGAAGUCAGUCGCGUUGGCUGGGGAUCAACCUUGCACUUUUGCUUGGCUUACUUCCCAGUUGACGGGUCAGCAUCAGUUUUGACCGGUGGAUAAAGGUUAAGGGAAUGUGGCACCCUCGGGUGUGUUAUAGCCCUUGGUCAUAUACAUUGGUUGG
RNAcentral lists this ribosomal RNA (514 nucleotides) under Termitomyces sp. symbiont of Macrotermes bellicosus. RNAcentral describes it as "eukaryotic LSU rRNA". It matches the Rfam family "Eukaryotic large subunit ribosomal RNA", at positions 71 to 583 of the family's 3401-position model. The record is from RNAcentral. Lineage: Eukaryota; Fungi; Basidiomycota; Agaricomycetes; Agaricales; Lyophyllaceae.